CAUAGGCCAUGCGAAGCGAACGCGGUGAACUGAAACAUCUAAGUAACCGCAGGAAAAGAAAUCAACCGAGAUUCCCAGAGUAGUGGCGAGCGAAAUGGGACCAGCCUGUACUCUUUAUCUUCAUUGUUAGUCGAAGGCUCUGGAAAGUGCCGCCAUAGCAGGUGAUAGCCCUGUAGACGAAAACAGCGAGGAAGAACUAGGUGUACGACAAGUAGGGCGGGACACGUGAAAUCCUGUCUGAAGAUGGGGGGACCAUCCUCCAAGGCUAAAUACUCGUGAUCG
This 282-nucleotide ribosomal RNA is filed under the name Mesorhizobium sp. RNAcentral describes it as "partial 23S ribosomal RNA". It matches the Rfam family "Bacterial large subunit ribosomal RNA", at positions 165 to 482 of the family's 2925-position model. Lineage: Bacteria; Pseudomonadati; Pseudomonadota; Alphaproteobacteria; Hyphomicrobiales; Phyllobacteriaceae. The record is from RNAcentral.